This 64-nucleotide transfer RNA is filed under the name Onthophagus pullus. Its description in RNAcentral is "tRNA-Glu". The record is from RNAcentral. Lineage: Eukaryota; Metazoa; Arthropoda; Insecta; Coleoptera; Scarabaeidae.
AAUUUAUUAGUUUAAAAAAAACAUUAUAUUUUCAAUAUAAAAAUGAAUUUAAAUUCAUAAAUUA